AGCAGUCGCCACGGUAAUACGGAGGGAGCUAGCGUUGUUCGGAAUUACUGGGCGUAAAGCGCACGUAGGCGGUUAUUCAAGUCAGAGGUGAAAGCCCGGGGCUCAACCCCGGAACUGCCUUUGAAACUAGAUGACUGGAAUCUUGGAGAGGUCAGUGGAAUUCCGAGUGUAGAGGUGAAAUUCGUAGAUAUUCGGAAGAACACCAGUGGCGUAGGCGACUGACUGGACAAGUAUUGACGCUGAGGUGCGAAAGCGUGGGGAGCAAACAGGAUUAGAUACCCGGGUAGUCCCUGUCUCUUAUAC
This 303-nucleotide ribosomal RNA is filed under the name uncultured bacterium. RNAcentral's name for it is "partial 16S ribosomal RNA". It matches the Rfam family "Bacterial small subunit ribosomal RNA", at positions 507 to 807 of the family's 1533-position model. The record is from RNAcentral.